UCUUUUACCUUCUCUUGUCUAAAAGAAGUUAGCCGUCUGUGUACACAUCCACUUUUCCAUCCUGACCUUGUCGUUUCAUAAUCCCACUGAUGGUGCUCUUCAUCAUUUUUUGCAGUCUCCUCUUUACAAUCCAAGCUCUAGCAAUUUGUUGUAUUUAAUGGUGUGACUGGAAUAGGAAGUCCAAGUUCAGGUACCUUCUGUGUAGGAAAAAGUUCUUGAUAUCUUAAAGAUGUUUUUCCUUCAUCUCAUAAACUUUUUUAUUACUACUGUGCAUCUUCUGAGUGCUGCUUUGCUUUUUAUUUUUCCACGCUCUCUAUCACCAAGAUGGAGAGUUGAAUGUUCCCCUCCCCACAGCCUGUCUGUUGCUGUGAGGUUCAGGAUCGAAUCACAUCCAGAGAGGCUCAGCUUGAGUAGAAAUCAAGUCUUCUUUUCAGUCUUGACCUACGUCUGACACUGAGGGGAGCUACGUGUGCUGUGAAGUCUCAGUGCAGAGAUGGAAGCAUCCUUGUGCUCAUCCCAUGCAGAUCUGUGACUACUCUUCUUUGUGCCCAGAAAACAAGGUGGCAGAAUCAAGCCAACAGCAGGGCUCCAGCAGCAACUUGGCAACUGGCCGCCGGUCGUCCUUGGUUCAAACUGCCCUUUUUCUCUUGGGAAUCUACCGCCAACCUCACUUUCAAAGUAAAUCGUGCCUGAGACUCCAACCAUCUGUACUGGUGACCCAGGAACCAGCUGCUGUCCCUGGAAGCGAAGUGCAGCUCGUCCCAGGAGCAGGUUCUGUGCAGCCGCCGUUCGCUGCGCUUUGGGGGACGGUUUGUGCUCCUGCUGUGUGCGGGCAGGGCGCUAAGCUGCAAGUCACUGCUUUCCCCGGGGAGGUAAUUGGGACGGUUCCUUAAUGGCAUUAGUGCACGUUGCCUCUUCUGCCACCAGAUAGCUGGGGCCGGACCCCUUAUGCUGCCGAUGUGCCGGAACAAUGCGGGCGUGUAGUAAGGAAGCGAACUAGAAGUAAUUUGUCUGAGUCAGACUUUUGGAUACAUAAGUGACACUCCCUGCCCUCCCCCAGCGCAUUGUGUAAGGAAUUGAGUCCCCUGUUUGUGUUCCUUUUUAUUAGCAUUAAAACCAAAAGGAAUAAAGAGACAGUUGGGAAGCCA
This 1148-nucleotide long non-coding RNA is filed under the name Anas platyrhynchos platyrhynchos (common mallard). RNAcentral's name for it is "lncRNA (ENSAPLG00000023139.1)". The record is from RNAcentral. Lineage: Eukaryota; Metazoa; Chordata; Aves; Anseriformes; Anatidae.